CUUUUUUUUUUCUCAAGUUGUAUAAAUUUAAUUUCAUUUAAAAUGAUUUCAAAAAUACAAUCUGCAGACAGACAUAUGAUUGGUAUUCAAUGCACUUAGUGAAUAAUCUGUAAAAACUCAUCCAAGAAAUGUGUUUGUCAAGGCAAGUAAAAAAGAGGAAACAUAUUUGUAGAAUUAAAUUAUCAGAAUAACUAACUAUUCAAAGAUUGAUGUCAAUUCAGUUCAUCACAAAUCAAGUCUCUUGGGUUCAUCACUCUGCUGAGCGUGUUACAUUUGGUGUGGUCCAGAAAAUCUAGUGAAUAGUGGCCGCUCUACAACAAAUGAUCAAAUUAAGAAAAUAAAAAAUUUUCCACAUUAGUUAAGGUUUUACUUUGAGGUAAAAUAUGUAAAGCUAAGGGUUAUUUUCACAAUUUUGAAUUCAAAGUAAGAUAGGAAGAAGGAAGGAAUUUUUUUACGUUACCCCCCCCCCCCC
Molecule: non-coding RNA, 472 nt
Organism: Biomphalaria pfeifferi
Lineage: Eukaryota; Metazoa; Mollusca; Gastropoda; Planorbidae
Source: the annotation of a GenBank genome assembly